This 484-nucleotide ribosomal RNA is filed under the name uncultured bacterium. RNAcentral's name for it is "partial 16S ribosomal RNA". It matches the Rfam family "Bacterial small subunit ribosomal RNA", at positions 30 to 507 of the family's 1533-position model. The record is from RNAcentral.
AUUGAACGCUGGCGGCAGGCCUAACACAUGCAAGUCGAGCGGAUGAAGGGAGCUUGCUCCUGGAUUCAGCGGCGGACGGGUGAGUAAUGCCUAGGAAUCUGCCUGGUAGUGGGGGAUAACGUCCGGAAACGGGCGCUAAUACCGCAUACGCUCUGAGGGAGAAAGUGGGGGAUCUUCGGACCUCACGCUAUCAGAUGAGCCUAGGUCGGAUUAGCUAGUUGGUGGGGUAAAGGCCUACCAAGGCGACGAUCCGUAACUGGUCUGAGAGGAUGAUCAGUCACACUGGAACUGAGACACGGUCCAGACUCCUACGGGAGGCAGCAGUGGGGAAUAUUGGACAAUGGGCGCAAGCCUGAUCCAGCCAUGCCGCGUGUGUGAAGAAGGUCUUCGGAUUGUAAAGCACUUUAAGUUGGGAGGAAGGGCAGUAAGUUAAUACCUUGCUGUUUUGACGUUACCAACAGAAUAAGCACCGGCUAACUUCGUG